This is a long non-coding RNA of Triticum dicoccoides, 3877 nucleotides long. RefSeq lists it as uncharacterized. The record is from RefSeq and is a predicted model, not a curated record. Lineage: Eukaryota; Viridiplantae; Streptophyta; Magnoliopsida; Poales; Poaceae. The transcript has 5 exons.
GGGGGGCCUAGGCAGCAGGGCUUUUCCCCUGGCCGAGAAACCAUGGACUAAAUUCUCCCCGGGCAAUCCACCAGCGCAUUUGGAGGCCCAAGAGAUAGGGGCAGCCCCGCCCUUUCCACGGGUGAGGCUUCCAUGCCUGGUGAGGUCAGGGAGAAAACCCUCGUCGCUUGGUCUCGCGAACGAGAGGCGGCGGUGACCAGAUCAAGAACUCCUCCGCCCUUCUUCGUCCAACGCUCCACCGUCCCCCGGCCCUCCUCCAGCAACUGGAAGCGGCACACCCCCAUCUCCCUCCACCUCUACACUCCGCCCCUCUGGUGGGGGCGACGGCGACCGAGUUAUGUCUCAAUGCAUGCGAGAGCUUUAAGUAUAACCAUCCAAGCACAGUGGUAUGUCUUGGUGCAUCUUAAACUUUGUUAUCUUGAUAAGUGCUCUCUCUUGUUUAAUGAAUAUAAUUUAUCUUCUGUUUUUUGGACGUAGGUUCGUAAUGAAAAUGUAGAGGAUUUUCUUUCUUUGCUAAUGGAAUGAUCUGUCCUAUAUGACAAGUACGUCCAUAAAAAUAGUGGCGUUGCCUCAACUAGUUUGUUCGAGGACGAAGGGAAGACCAUGAGCCUGCAAAAAGCAAGCAUGUCGUAGAGAAACUUAGCGCGAUCUGCUAUGGUGGCGCUCACAGAAAAACAAUUUGCAUAUACUUCAAAGUACUUCUCAUUCUAAUCUUGUUCCUUUGUAGCGUUGGUAUAUUUGUUGUUUCCGUACGUGUCAUCCUAAUAUAAUUUUUUAAUAAGUGCAAUGGAAGGACCAUCAGGUCGAGGAUUCCUAGGAGCCCAUGGAGAAACUCCGGUUAGUAUCUAAUCUGAAGUUAUUCUUUAAAAAAUUUAUUUCAAGUGCAAUGAGUCCUUCAAUGUUCAACGCUUUCCCACUUAAAAUUAAAGAAUUUGUUCAAGAAAGCCAUAGGUGAAAAAUCGUACUACUACCGGUGAGUGCUUGAUAUCUUCUUUCUUCUUGAUAAUUUUGGCUAAACACCAGAUUCACUGAUGGUAAUUAAUUGUCCUGUCACAUUUUAAAGGGUGAUGUUGAUGGCUCAAUCCUUGACAGGGCGGGCCACCGGACAACACAUCAACAUCACCCUUUAAAAUGUGACAAGACAAUUGAAUACCAUGUGUUUAGCCAAAAUUAUCAAGAAAGAAGAUAUCAAGCACUCACCGGCAGUGGUAAGAUUUUUCGCCCAUGACCUUUUUGAACAAAUUCUUUAAUUUUAAGUGGGAAAACGCUGAACGUUGAAGGACUCAUUGCACUUGAAAUACAUUUUUUAAAGAAUUACUUUAGAUUAGAUACUAACCAGAGUUUCUCCAUGGGCUCCCAGGAAUCCUCGACCCGAUGGUCAUUCCAUUGCACCUGUUAAAAAAUUAUAUUAGGAUGACAUGUACGGAAACAACAAAUGUAUCAACACUACAAAUGAACAAGAUGACAAUGAGGAGUACCUUGAAGUAUAUGCAAUUUUUUUCUGUCAGUGCCACCAUAGCAGAUCGCGCUAAGUUUCUCUACGACAAGCUUGCUUUUUCCAGGUUCACGGUCUUCCCCUUCAUCCUCGAACAAACUAGUCGAGGCAUCGCUAUUAUUUUUAUGGACGUACUUGUCACAUAGGACACCAUUCCAUUAGCAAAGAAAGAAAAUCCUUCAUUUUUUCAUUACAAACCUACAUCCAAAAAAACAGAAGAUAAAUUAUAUUCAUUAAACAAGAGAGAGCACUUAUACAAGAUAACAAAGUUGAAGAUGCACUAAGACAUACCUCUGUGCUUGGAUGGUUAUACUUAAAGCUCUUGCAUGCAUUGGUAUUAAGAUCUACAACCCAUCGCUACAAAUAUCAACAAAUUGUUCUCUAUCAGCCAAUUGAAGAGCUAUCUGUUUUGAAAGUGCCCAAUGAAUCGAGAGAUUUUCAUCAAUACCAAGAACCCAAGGCUUAGGCUUUUUUGGUUGAAGGAGGAGAUUGCUGCAAUUGAGAGAACAUAAGCCAACAUCAAGUUGUGGUACGCGAUGUCGAUGAGGAGUGGAGAAAAGACUUAAGUUGGACUAGUGACCGUCGCCUUGCAGCAGCGCAUAUUGUUCGAUAGUGUCCCUGCCUUGACAUGGCAACUUGAUAAUCCAGAACUUUUUAACCAUGAUCCUAGGACCGAUAUUUGAACCAUGGUGAAGGGAUGAAACAAAGGAAAUGUGUCAGGGAGGAUUUCUAAAGGAAAUGGCCAUGCUUUAACUAUGGAAAGAGAAGGGAUGCAGAUGGAAAAGCACGAAGCCUCGCUUCAGGACAAAGCGGCAUGGGGAGCUGCGACACAUCUCUUGGGGCUGAUCCUUCCGGUUGAGGCCUCGAAUGCUGAACGGCGUGAUUCCCAAAGAUUGAAGCAAACAUGGAUGAAAUUCACUGUGGCGUCCUGUAGGUUGUCUGGUCGUUUAAGCUUUCCUUGUGCUUCCGCUGAGCUGUAGAACUGGGUAAUCAUGUUGGCUUUACCCUGAGAACCUGAAUGUUUAUGAACCUUUGUUCCAUUGCAUCAUUGGCUGCAAUGGAACAAGGAGUUCUGCUCCUAUCUUCCUAAAAAGGGGAUAGGAAGAUCAGCCGGACAAGAUCUCGUGACAUUGGACAGCUGAUGGCUCUUACAUGGCGGCAUCUGCGUACAAGAUUCAGUUCAUGGGAAGUACAUCCUCAAACCUGAAGGAGCUCAUCUGGAAAACUCCAGUACUGGCAAAGCAGAAGCUCUCGGCUUGGCUGUGUAUUCAAGAUCGCUGUCUAACAGCGGAUAAGCUCGCCAAGAGGGGCUGGCAGCAUGACCCCAUCUGCUCACUCUGGAAGUGUCAGCCGAAGACUGCUGCACAUCUUCGCUCACUGCUCCUUCUCGGCCGAGGUGUGGAGAUUAGCCUUUGCUACUUUCAACUUCCCCCUGAACCUGAUCCCCAGCGUGAUGAUGCCGUCUUUCAGGAAGUGGUGGGGCAAGGUUAUGCUGUCUUGGCCUCAAACGAGUCUGAACAGAAAUGCUCUGCUCCGAUUACCCUGGUUUGUUGGUUCAUUUGGACUGCGCGGAUCUUUGAUGGGGUGGCCUGCACUGCUGCUCGGGUAAUGUGCAAGAUUGAGGAAGAACUGUCGGAAUGGGGAAGCGCCCGGAUCAGGGGUAUGCUAUUACUGUCGCUUAUUCAUCCAUGAUGCACACAAUAUGGUCUGAUUGCCUAAGAAGAUGCCGUUGAAAGGAGCUACUCAGAGUUAGGUGGAAACCUCUGUGAGCUCCUACUCAAUGCUACUAGUGUUUACUGGAUAGCCUUUGGCCUAGGUUUUUCCCCAUGUUGAGCUAUGUCAUGUAUCUCUGUAACAUUUCUUCUCCCUUAAUAUAAUGAAAGCAGCGCUGCUGCUCUUCGUAAAAAAAAAUUGGGAUGUUUUCUUGACUGAAUUCAGUGGAUCAUGAUGUUUCAAGUUGCAUAUCCUUUUAUUAGAUAAUGGAAUGAUAAAUGCGAUGGAGAUGACCAGUUUGUAUGAUGGAAAAGGACCCUUUAUGAAUCUGCAGAUGGCAUGGCAUCUUUGACACAUGAAAUUGGUGUUGCAUUUUCUCUGUCUUCUUAAUUCCAAGGAUGUGGAAGCCCAAGGCCAGUCAGAAGUUCACUGUUGUUCAGACUAUUUUCAGGCUGUGGGCAGUUUGCUAUUUUCAAAUAUCUUGGUCCAUGCUGUAAUGAUUCCCAAUAGGCACCAGUGAUGAAUUUCUGUGGAGAACUAAUGAUUCAUGAAGGAGGGAACUUAACCUUGAGGACAAAAGGAGUAAUGGUGUAGAACACUAGUAAUGCAACGGCAAAUCCCGCGAACAAACUUAUCUGAAAAUAAAAAUGGAAAAAACAAUACAAAGCA